UGCAUGGCCUCUGAUGGGGGCAUUCCAGGAGAAUUCCGCAGAUUAACAAACAUCGAGAAAAUAGAUUAACUGUGAUAUUGUGGGGACUGCAAGUGACGUG
Molecule: long non-coding RNA, 100 nt
Organism: Neomonachus schauinslandi (Hawaiian monk seal)
Lineage: Eukaryota; Metazoa; Chordata; Mammalia; Carnivora; Phocidae
Exons: 3
Source: RefSeq, a predicted model, not a curated record